Long non-coding RNA from Sitophilus oryzae (rice weevil), 754 nucleotides. RefSeq lists it as uncharacterized. Lineage: Eukaryota; Metazoa; Arthropoda; Insecta; Coleoptera; Curculionidae. The record is from RefSeq and is a predicted model, not a curated record. The transcript is spliced from 3 exons.
CCAUAUUAGAUGUAAAUAAUUAUUUACAUAAUUUAAAACGUCCUAACCUAAACAUAUUUAAUACAUUAUCACUGAACUACAAAAAAGAGAUUUUACUCCAAUCAAAAUGAAAUCUUUAUUUAAAGAAAAUUUAAGUAUCAUAAAACAUAAAGUACGUUGUAUGGCUGAAUCACCAUCGGUUUUGAACAAUGGUCACAGGGAAUUAGACGCAAGUCCCUUUGAGCCGUCAGUAGCUUUAACAGGUAACAUAUAUUGAUGAAGAUCACUUAUAUUUUGUAGAAAUACCUACUUGAACCAAGAUAACUUGGGCGUUUGAUGUAUAUUUUUAGCUUCUGAGAGAUUGAUCUUAAAAGAAAUAAAAAAGUUGAAUUGGGAAAUACAGGAUAUGAAAAAAACAGAUUAAUAUUAAGUUCUAGUGAAGAACCUUUUCAACUACCAAUUGAGAACCAGGCUUUACUAGAAUCUAUAGAGCAGCAUUUAGAAGAUGAAAAAAAUAUUGAACUUUUGGCUCAACGAUUAUACCUUUGUGGAGGGGACAAUACCCACAAAUCUGUUUUUUUAUUAAUGAAAAAACUGUUUGCCAGAGAUGUAGCAAUGCUCUAUUCUGGAUCAGGAAAGAAGGGAAAAUUAUCAUUUCAGAAGUUGUCAUGUAAGGCUAUUAUAAAAGCUGUUCGUUUUCCAGGCGCCACGGAUGCAGGUAUUAACAAAUCCAUAUCUUUGUAUUUGACAGGAGCAGCAGACAGGGAAGGAAGAC